Molecule: long non-coding RNA, 1410 nt
Filed under: Equus asinus (donkey)
Lineage: Eukaryota; Metazoa; Chordata; Mammalia; Perissodactyla; Equidae
Description: lncRNA (ENSEASG00005029840.1)
Source: RNAcentral
AAAGCCAGGUGAGGGUCCAGGUGCUGCUGCCCGGCCUGUGAAGGUAGCGGGAUUCACAGCUGCUGGAGCGGCCUUGGAAAGCGGAAGCGCCGGCUCUGGAGUUGGGCCUGUGUUCACCCCCGGCGCUGACGCUGAUGAGCCAGACACUGCACCUCAGCCCCCGGAGUCCCGGUCUCCUCCUCUGGAAAGUGGAAGCAGCGCCUGCCUCCGCAGUCUGAGGAGGCCCCAAGGGAGGGAGCAGGAACCAGAACCAGGUUAUGGCAUGGAGACGGCUGCCUUACGAAUGCUGUGGCCUUUGGUAGAAGAUGCAGAUGACCCAGCAACCCAGCGAGGACAACACAGGGGAGUAAAUGCCCUGACCGCUCUCUCUCCCUGUCCUGGGAGCACUUUCUCGUGUCCCCCAUUGGCUGAGUCCAACCUGACGUCAGAGAGCAAGGCUGCCUGUUGAUGCAGCCCACACACAUCAGCCUCACAGGACACAGAGGGUGGAGAAGGGGAGAGAAGAUAUCUAGCCACCUAACAAAUGAAAUUUCUUUAGCUUAAGUCAGUCAGUGACCCCAUUCUGGCAAAAGAGAUUUGAGGGAAGAUCUGCUAGGGAGUUUCUGGGGAAAGGGUCUUUAGUUUUAGGAAAGAGACACAGGAAAGAUGUGUUCUUUAUUGUGUCUGAUGUGACGCCUGGAACUGCAGCAGCCAUCUUGCAAGCAUGAGGGAAGCCAGCAAAGCAAAACUGACCCACUGAGGAUGGAAAAGCAGAGUUGGAAAGAAGCAGAUCCUCAGUGACUUUGUGGGACUGCUCUGAGAACCUGUUCUACCUCUGAGGUUCUUUUUAUCAUGAAAUAACAAAGGUGCUUAUUGGUUGAGUCACUUUCGAGUUGGAUUUCCAGUUACUUGAGGUCUGAAGCUAAUGGACACAGCUGCCAUCCACCAUUGUCACCCCAUAUGCGAGCAUUCUUGGCUCCCACAGACUGCAGGCCAAGCCCUCCUGGUUUCCUCUGCUGACCGUGGGCUUGCACUGACCACGUCAGAUUCAGGGCAGAGUUUCAAAUGCCUUUUUAGUUUGUGACAAAAGAGAGUCAGAAGUGGGAGAUGGGUUCUUAUUGCGAUGCUUCCCUACAGAUGGCUUCUGGCGGUGGCACUGACCACAGCAGAGUGACUCCCAUGGAGGCAGGUGAUCUAGGGUAGCGGUGGGGGCACAGGCCUUGCAGGUUGUCAGAACUGGCUUCAAGUCUAGGUCAGCUGCUUCCCAACUGUGUGACUUUGGGCAAGUUAGUUACCUUCUCUGAGCCCUUAGUUUUCUCACUGCAGAUGGUAAGAGUUGAAUUAGAUAAAUGUAAAAACAAACAAACCCUGAUAUUAAUCCUAGUCCUGAGAGGCUGCCCUUAAGGACGUUAUCCCCCUCUCUCCCUAUUC